AUCUUAUCUCUGUCUUCAAGCAUUCCUCAGCUUUCUCUUUCCAGUACAGGAAAAUCCUUAUUUAAUAACAAUCAACAGAACAGGAUUAUGAACCGACACCAUACAGAGGUAUUUGUAAGAAAGAAGGUGGAUGCCGGAAUCCUUUCUUCAAACAGAAGCUUACCAGUAAGUGCAGACUAAUACAACAGAGAGAUUGGAACUACAGCAAAGGUAUGAACAGGUGUCACGGGGACACAGAAGAAAGAGCAGUUACUCUUCCGGAAGGUUGGAGAAGAUUUUGUGAAGGUGGGGAUGUUUGAUUUGAACCUUGAAGAACAAGCAGAGACCCAAGAAGUACAGAAGAGGGGAGGUGGAAAUAGCAUGAACGAGGUGGGGCAUGGUGAGUAGUCUAGUAUGGAGUGG
Molecule: long non-coding RNA, 402 nt
Filed under: Homo sapiens (human)
Lineage: Eukaryota; Metazoa; Chordata; Mammalia; Primates; Hominidae
Description: HSALNT0389707
Source: RNAcentral